GAUGAACGCUGGCGGCGUGCCUAAUACAUGCGAGUCGAGCGAACGGACGAGAAGCUUGCUUCUCUGAUGUUAGCGGCGGACGGGGGAGUAACACGUGGAUAACCCACCUAUAAGACUGGGAUAACUUCGGGAAACCGGAGCUAAUACCGGAUAAUAUUUUGAACCGCAUGGUUCAAAAGUGAAAGACGGUCUUGCUGUCACUUAUAGAUGGAUCCGCGCUGCAUUAGCUAGUUGGUAAGGUAACGGCUUACCAAGGCAACGAUGCAUAGCCGACCUGAGAGGGUGAUCGGCCACACGAGAACUUAGACACGGACCAGACUCCUGCGGGAGGCAGCAGUAGGGAAUCUGCCGCAAUGGGCGAAAGCCUGACGGAGCAACGCCGCGUGAGUUAUGAAGGUCUUCGGAUCGUAAAACUCUGUUAUUAGGGAAGAACAUAUGUGUAAGUAACUGUGCACAUCUUGACGGUACCUAAUCAGAAAGCCACGGCUAACUACGUG
RNAcentral lists this ribosomal RNA (497 nucleotides) under uncultured bacterium. RNAcentral's name for it is "partial 16S ribosomal RNA". It matches the Rfam family "Bacterial small subunit ribosomal RNA", at positions 28 to 507 of the family's 1533-position model. The record is from RNAcentral.